This 387-nucleotide long non-coding RNA is filed under the name Fukomys damarensis (Damara mole-rat). Its description in RNAcentral is "lncRNA (ENSFDAG00000021753.1)". Lineage: Eukaryota; Metazoa; Chordata; Mammalia; Rodentia; Bathyergidae. The record is from RNAcentral.
UGUUUAUUUGAUUUGUUUAUAUACAGGAAUUUGACAAACCAAUAAUAAUUGCUCAAGAUUCAAGGUGACUUUGAAAUGAUUUCAUUCAAUAAACAUUUAUUAAUAGAGUAUUUUGUGCCAGGACCGGAUUUGUCUGAUAAGGUGUUGUGAGACGGUCUACCAGCGCCUGCUCUCACCUUGACGAAAGUACUUCUUUUCUACCUUCAUUGAAUGAACACCGGAUCUGGAAUUUAGUUCAGUGGUGCUGCCGCCUGCCUCACAAGCUCAAGGACCCAAGUUUCAUCCCCCGUAACAAACAAACAAAAAAAAGCAAAACAAACAAAAACAAAAACAAAAACAAAAAAACAAAUGAAAAGAUAAAUAAAUAAAUAGAUAAAUGAACACCUC